UGGGCGAGGAGUACAAAGGACCCCAGGCGAAGCCGGCGCCGGGAGGCAGAGCUGACUCCCGCGGGACUCUACCGGCCUGCGAGCGUUCGUCACGUGCUCGGUGGCUGAGGGGCCGUCCCGGCCGGGCGGGCUUCACCGCGUGGGCGCGGCAGUCGCCACUCACCGAGGUUGACGACCUUGAGCGCCGUGAAGAAGCGGUUCUGCCGGGCCAGGCGUGGGUUCUCACUAUGUUGCUUAAGCUGGUCCAGAACUCAAGCCAGUCUCUCACUUCAGCCUCUUGAGUCGUUGGGAUUACAGAAGCCACCAUGUCCAACUGAAAGAGAUCAAGGGGAUUCUUGUGAGCAAGGUUCUUCCUGGUACCUGAUUGGGCAACUGGAUGAAGAAGAGGGAAAGGAAAAAGCUGCCUGAGCCCCCCAAGACAUCAGGUGCCCUCCUUAUGGUGACUGCAGAGAUCCUGGGAAGAGUCAAAGGUUAUUCAAAUCCAGACUGGACCCAAAGGGGUUCACAGAGAGGCAGGAGACCGCUUGGAAAAGAGACAAGAUCUUGUUGCCCAGGCUGGUCUCAAACUCCUGCGUUCAAAUGAUACUCUCGCCUUGGCCUCCAAAAGUGUUGGGAUUGCAGACCUGAGCUACUAUGCCUGGCUGAAUUCUAUUUCUAUUGGAUUGGUUGUAAAGAAGUGCAUUGUAGCCUGCAAAGGAGCAGGGCCAGUGGGGUGGAGAGGGCAGAAGUGCUACAGAGGCCCCUGCUCUCCACUGCCCUGACUGCUACUGUGCUGGAUGCCGUGUGAACCACAGCUGCAUCUGGAGGCCUUGGGCAGCACCUAACAGGAAGCCAGAGUAGGUCCUCUGAAGGUGUUUGUUCAAUGAACUUGUCAUCCUCCUCAACUUAAAGCCUUUAGCUUUUCCAAUUUGGAGGCACAAAUAAGUGAGAACUUGGGGAUCCACUGAGGUCUGAGGCACGGUGGUACCAGAGGAGAUGAAGGGGCUUUCAGCAUGAAGCUGGUCCCCUGUCGACAGCACGCUGAUUUUCCCGUUGGGCUCUAUCAGCAUGUCCACUGUGAGACCAUGCUUGUGAAAAUACCAGGACGGUAAAUUAGUGAAUUCCAAAGUCAGGAUUUUUGUUGGAUCUGGCACAGUCACAGGAAAGUCUGAGUUUUCUCAAGGGCAUCCCUGUCUCACCGAGGGGCACCAAGGACAGACGACCAGAAGCAAAUGGCGCAGUCACCGUCAGAGGAGAGUAAAACUCAUUCUGAAACGGUUCCAAAUGCCCAUGCCUGCUCUGUGGUUUUCAGCAAAGCGGACCUUUCCAAAAGACCUCCAACAGGGACUUCCUGGAUGUGAGAACACUAACCAAUUCUCGUUCCUCUCAUCUUUUGCUUUAUUCCUUCCUUCCAUGCUGUUAUUGCGAAAAACUGGUAGUUAAAUUCAAUUGAUUCAAAAUAUUCGGGAUCCAUAUGGCCGCCAACCCUGGAGCUGAAGCGGCGAUAGCGCCUCACUGCUGUUUUCAAGCAUUUGCCUCUCCUCCAGUCCCCAGAUGGUGGGAGUAACAUUUAAACCUCCUUUUCUCUGCCUUGUACAAUAGACCUUGGCACCAUUUCAACUGUUUACUCCGGUAAUUAACAGCUCUGAUACCACAACAAUUACAACUCCUACACUCUCACCACAAUAAUGCUAUGAAUUAGUGAGAGCUAAUGGCUGGAAGGUAGAGUGUUUCCAGACUGUGGGAUCUGUGCAUUUUUAGAAUAAAAUAAAAGGUACAAACAGCACGCUUGCAGUAGACAAUGAUUACCUAGUAAUUAGUUUACACAAAGCUUCCUAUUUAAUGGCAAAACGCUGUAAUUAACGUGUGACAGAAAAUCAAAGGGUACUUUGUAAGCAUAUUAAAAAUUAACACUGCAGGCCCAUAGCUUUAUGUACUGAUUAGAAGCAUAUUAAAUCAAUAGGACACACAAACCAACAGCUUGGGUAGCUGAUUAUUAUAGGUCCUCAGAAGGGGUACCCUGGCUUUCAUUUCACUUGGGGAGGCAAUUUUCCUUCUCCUGUCAUCUUCCUCAGGCACAGAGAAACACCUCAAACUCAACCCUGGCAGCUUCAUGAAAAUAACCACUGAACUGGAAGAAAACAUUCUAAGUCAUUCUCAGAGAUGAAGACAAAUAUGUAAAUGAUUAAGACUUUCCAAUGAUUGUGGUGACGUGCUGCUACACUAAUUAGAAAAUACACCAACUGGAACCAGAAAAUAAAGCCACUGGGUUGCAAUCUUCCGGUCAGAAUAAUCUCUACUUUGUCAAGCCUCUUUAUUCAACUCAUAGAAAGUUCAAAUAAAUGGAACUGUUUUAUAUUUCUAAAUGAUAAGAAAGCAGGCUGCUAUGAAGACUUAUUCUUUCCAAGGCACUGUCUGGGUAAAGCAUAGGCUGGGAACAACUGGAUCAACCAACAUUCUGUAUCUUCAACAGCCACAACCCCAUAUAAUGAUGGCUGAUGGACAUAGACAGCAAUAUCCUGGAAGCCUACCAGAGCCUAAAGAACCUUCUGAAUCACCAAAGAAAGAUUAAGUUGUAUGUACUUGUUCAAUGUUACCUGUAUUUUGUUAUAAUACAAUUUUAUGGUAAUAAUAACAACAAUAAUAAUAGGUAGCAUUUCUUAAAGUCUUAUUAUGUGCUAAGCACACUGCUAGCCAAUUCAUAGAAUUAUCUCAUUUACUUGUCACCACUUCCCCAUGAGACAGGUACUAAUCUCUCUUUACAGAUAGAGAAAGGGAGACUUGGAGAGCUGAAGUAAUUUGCCUAUAGUUAUCCCCCAGGGAGCAUGGGAGUCUAACCUAGGUGUCCCUGGCUAUGGAACCCCAGGAAGCCAAACUACCUCUUAGUUACCCUGAAUGACUAGCCUGUUCCAACACUCAUUCUGCUUAAAAGGCAGUUUACUAUGUCAACCUGGAAUAGGAGACUAAAAAAAUUAAAACAAAAACAAAAUAUUUGGUUGCUUAUUUUUUUAAAAAACAGGGUGUUUCUGCUUUUAGAGAUAGGAGUCUUGUUCUGUCACCCAGGCUGGAGAGUGGUGGUGCAGUCAUGACUCAUUGCAGCCUCAAACUCCUGGGCUCGAGUGAUCCUCUUUCUUCAGGCUCCUAAGUAGCUGGAACUACAGGCACACACCUAAUUUUUAAAUUUUUUGUAGAGAUAGGGUCUCACUAUAUUGCCCAGGCUGGUCUUGAACUCCUGGCCUCAAGCCAACUCCCACCUCAGCCUUCCAAAGUGUUGGGAUUACAAAAUAUUACAGGAGUGAUCGACUGCACUGGGCUAAAAACAAGGGUUUUAAAUGCUUACCAUAUUUUUAAUGCUACAUCUGAUUGUGAAGGUGGGCUACUCAAAGCUUUUUGGGAAUUUACAGGCUCACUAAAAUGAUCACGAUAGUGUAUUAAAUUGAGAAAGGCAUUGAAAAUCUGUCAUUCCCAUGAACAACCAAAGGGUGAUGUCUAAAAUUCUCUCUCAUCACCCAUGCACAUAACCAGGUAUAUGAGGCAGUUGGGUUGCAAGAGCUGAAUCCUAGAAACUCCUAGGCAGGGCUCCUCCUCUCCAGCUCUGAGGUGUGUGUAUUGAUGGCCCCCUACACCUCCCAGUUUGCUGCCUUGUGGGAAAAGGAGACCAGCUCUUCUGUUAUCUAGGAAAGGGAAGAAAUUUGAGAGCAGUGGCCUCUGUGUUCCAGGAAUAUUUGCGUUUCCCACAAAUCUCUGGAAAGCAGAAAGCUUGCCACAAGGGCAGCACACGGUAUGAGUCACAAAGGCAAGGACCUGAGGGAGAACACUUCCCAGGACUUUCAAAUAAGGUCUUUCCUAAAUGUACUUGGCUCAGUGUGGCAAAAGCACUGGGCUAGCAGCAGUCAGAUGUGGGUUCAAAGCAAGGCACAAUCAUUUAUUAGCUAUAAAUUUGGGCAAGUCACUUCUUGAGAAUAAGUUUCUUCAUCUGUAAACAGAAGUAAUACCUUCCUUAUAUCUUAAAUUGGUGUGGAAGUAAAUGAGUAAAAACCUCAGGGUUUUUCUGAGUUUAAAUGAGACAAUUCAUGUAACGUGCUUAGCACAAUACCUGGUACCCAGUAGGUACUCUGCAGUAUUUAUUGAUGAUGAUGAUGAUGAUGAUGAUGAUGAUGAUGAUGACAAAGAAAUACAAGGAAAUGUCAACACCUUAACAGUGCAUUCAUAGAUCUACAAAAUGCUUAAUCUCAGUGUUCUGGCAACCACUAAAUACAUAAAGAUAAUCUAAGACAUCAAGAUUUCAACAUAUAAAAAUAAAUAUAAAAACAAGUGAACAAUAAUCAUUUAUAUGUAGUUUCAUGACUGGAAAAAAUAAUAACCUAGAUUUUUUCUUAACCUAGAAAAUCUAGAUUAAAAAAUAAAGAUCUUGCAUUUUUGAUAUAAAACACAAAUAAUAAGGACAUGAAAAAAGAAUAUCCCUUGCUAGUAAUCAAAUAAUAGCAAUGAGAAGCUGGAUUCUUAUAUCUAAAAUAAAAGUGCAAAUAGUUCAUAAUAUCCAUUGGUGGUAAGGUUGUGGUAAAACUAGUAUUCUUAUUCUCUGCCAGUUGCUUUGGAAAUUGGUACUAUCUUUUUAGGAAUAUGGCAAUAUGUAACAAAAGCCAUAAAAUAUUCUACUCCUGGGUCUUUCUCCUCGGGAAGUAACUCAACAGAAGCAAAAAGAGGUGUAUACAAAAACCAAAUAUAAAAACAAACAAAUCUUUCCUCCCUCUUUCCUCCCACUGCCAAAAAAUGAAAGCUGGGAAUAGCCUAAAUUUCCAACUUAGUUGAAUUGUUCAAUAUAUUAGAGUUCAUCAAUAUGAGAGAAUAUUAUGCAUCUAAUAAUUGUGACGACUAUGUAUAAACAUGGAAAAUAUUUAAGAUCUGAUGUUUAACUAGCAUAUACACUAUUAUUGUAGCUAUGAGAAAGAAAUACUGCAUAUUUAGAAAUUAAUAUACAAAAAUGAAAACAACUAUGUUUGGGGACAGUGAUUAUGUACUUUUAAAUUUUUUUUAAUCUUGUUAUCUUUAAACUUUUCUAAAAAUGAUGUGAUUACAAGCAAUGGCUCUUUGGGAUCACCUAAUAAAUACCUACUAAAUUCUAGACGGGACAACGAGCUCUGCCAUCCUGCAAUGGCUCCUGUGACCUAGUUCCAGGGCCAUUCUGAAUGGACAGAGGUCUUCACAAUGGAGGUGGAGAUGCAGGGAGCUCUAUGGCAUGAAAUGGUUAAUGAUUCUCUUUUGUAAUUGUGUUUUCUGUUUGCUGCCUUAGUUCUAAAAGGAGGCAAAACAACUGUGGUUUAUUCUACCUUUUCCAGGCAUAGUUCUUCUCCUACCUUUGUGAUCCCCAAAUUAAUAUCAAAUGUCUAAUUAGUUUUUUUCUCCAUUGGUGAUCCCCAAAUUAAUAUCAAAUGUCAGACAAAGUAAAUCAAAGUACAAAUAAAGGUAAAACUGCUCUUGCAAAGGGCUAAAAUAGCAAUGUUUACUAGAAGCAUUCAAGAGCCAGUUCAAUUUCCUAUUUCUCAUUAAGUGGUAAAAUAGUAAUGCCAAGACCACAUCCCAGAAUCUCCAGGGUAACAGAGGCCCAACGAAGGGCUGCAGAGAAACUUGAAAGUAAACUGGCUUAGUUCUUUACACACAGAAAUUGUUCUACAAAGAUCUCUUGCAAAGCAGUGUCACCAGUAGCAUCACUGCCACUAAGCCAAUGUCCCAGGAAUUGAGGAAAGGAAGACACCCUUAAAGAAAAAAAUGGAAAAAAGCCACAAGGACUGGUACCACAGUAAAUGUCUGCCUGGGUCUCCCUAAACUGUCUUAGGUGAGCUUACCCAGGAAUGUUUCUCCCCUACAUGUUUGCCUUCCUUUGUUUAAGCCUUUAUUCCUCCUAAAUGAAAAUAAAUACCCCCGACUGGGGAACGUGGAGUUUGGAGUGUGUGCAAGAGUGUGGAUUCAUUAAAACUUAACGAGCAGAGUACUUAAGUGAAUGAGUUUACUGGAACUUGUUGGGGGAAGUAGGUUUUGUUAGCUGGU
This 6027-nucleotide long non-coding RNA is filed under the name Homo sapiens (human). Its description in RNAcentral is "HSALNT0221767". Lineage: Eukaryota; Metazoa; Chordata; Mammalia; Primates; Hominidae. The record is from RNAcentral.